AAUAGAUACCCGGGUAGUCCACGCCGUAAACGAUGAAUGCUAGGUGUUAGGGGUUUCGAUACCCUUGGUGCCGAAGGAAACCCAUUAAGCAUUCCGCCUGGGGAGUACGGUCGCAAGACUGAAACUCAAAGGAAUUGACGGGGACCCGCACAAGCAGUGGAGUAUGUGGUUUAAUUCGAAGCAACGCGAAGAACCUUACCAGGUCUUGACAUCCCCCUGACCGGUCUAGAGAUAGGCCUUUCCUUCGGGACAGGGGAGACAGGUGGUGCAUGGUUGUCGUCAGCUCGUGUCGUGAGAUGUUGGGUUAAGUCCCGCAACGAGCGCAACCCUUAGGUCUAGUUGCCAGCACGUAAAGGUGGGCCCUCUAGAACGACUGCCGGUGACAAACCGGAGGAAGGUGGGGAUGACGUCAAAUCAUCAUGCCCCUUAUGACCUGGGCUACACACGUACUACAAUGGCCGGUACAACGGGCAGCGAAGGGGCGACCCGGAGCGAAUCCAAACAAGCCGGUCUCAGUUCGGAUUGCAGGCUGCAACUCGCCUGCAUGAAGUCGGAAUUG
This 559-nucleotide ribosomal RNA is filed under the name uncultured bacterium. Its description in RNAcentral is "bacterial SSU rRNA". It matches the Rfam family "Bacterial small subunit ribosomal RNA", at positions 777 to 1334 of the family's 1533-position model. The record is from RNAcentral.